Molecule: long non-coding RNA, 917 nt
Filed under: Coturnix japonica (Japanese quail)
Lineage: Eukaryota; Metazoa; Chordata; Aves; Galliformes; Phasianidae
Description: lncRNA (ENSCJPG00005007140.1)
Source: RNAcentral
CCUCUGCUAUUCUGGGUUGUUUUACAAGGUUUUAUAUUCCCUUUAGUGGAUGCUGACAAAGGAGUAUACGUGUCACUGGGGACAGCAAGGAGUGGUCGUAGGCUCAUUAUGGAUGUGAAAAAUUUGGACUCUUGCAAAGCCAAGUCCAGGAUCUAAAGCUCACCAUGAUUUGUGGUCCUCCUGAAAAUAGGGCUCUUGCUGCGUUGUGCUGGUGUAUUCAAGCAGGUGGCAAUCUGGAGUGACAGAUUUACUGGGAGAGCCCCCGGGGAGAAGUUCAUUUGUUACACAGUGACAGCGAACUUGUGGGACCAAACAGAGCAUCACUCUGAGGAAAAGGCAGGCUCAUGAGGAAGCAAUGAACUUCCCACAUUCAGAGACUUGUACACCUGGUGCUGGAACAGGGACAACCAAAAGGGGAGCUUGGCAAAGAGCGGAGCCAACAGGUCUCCUGACAACCUGCUUCCAACCAAUGCCUCCUCUGCACACUGGACUCGUGCAUCUCUCAGCCCAGCAGAUCACCUCUAACAGCCCACCUCAACAACAGGCGAUUACUGGGAAGGCAAGUAGUGAAUGACAUCCUCCACUGUAUACUUCAUCUGCAGAUCAGUGUAGCAGAUGGGAAAAGAAAAUGCAUUCACUACAGAGAUGUAGCAGAGCUUCCCAGAUCCCUGCUGCACGGGGCAAUGUACUAAAGGCCAGGUAUCUGCAGACAAAGAAGUGAUGAAUGCUGCCUCCCAUCCAGUAUUUUCCCUUUCAGAGUAAUGAGACUCAAUGCCCCAUCCCAAUACUAGUGCUCUCUACAUUAUUAGAUGCAAAUACACUGACAUUUUUCCUUACUGCCUGAUGUAUUCCUAUCGCUGUUGCUGCCUGCUACAUGCAAAAAUAAAUGUUAGCAUAUUUGCUAGGGUAUAAGGGCU